GUUGAAUGAUUCUAUUGGCGGCUCAUCAAUGCCGUCUUUGUAGUGCUGUUAGUACACACCAAACCCCCAUGAAAACAUCAUUUUACAAAAUUAGCCCCUACCCCUAAAUAUGCCGCACCUAACGUUGCACGUCAUUAAAUCUAAACCGCCAACCCAAGUAAUCUCAGCCGUCCAUUCAACAAAAAAAACUUUAUAAAAGAUAGGUCUGAGAAACCUAAUUAUUAUCGUUCAACAGCCUCUAGGGUUUCACCUUUCUUUCAUCCCAAUUCUCCUAUUCUUCAAUCUCAGAUCUCAGAUCUCAGAUCUCGUUAGCAACAUCCCCGUCCUACUUCACCCGUACCAGAUCUGUUCAGAUCCGAUGGAGAUCUACCGCCGGUGGAGGUUUUCUCCAGAUCUAAAUCUUCGUCCGUCAGAUCUACAAUUCAGAGGUGUGAUCUUCACGUUCAUCUUGGUGUUUGGAAUCAACUAUGAGAUUUUUUUUGCAGGUAUGGUUGUAGAUCGAUGAGCAGAUCGUAGAAUCUAAUUAUGCUGGUUCCACCUUGGUCACAGAAACGGAUGCGUCAUCUUCUGAUUUCUAGAAGUGCUAUGAGCUAUGGUUCUAGAUUGACCUCUUUCAGAUCCAUGUUGCAGAUAUCGGUUCUUGUAAUUAUGUAUUGGAUUAUGAUCUUUGCGGGGGGAAGUUUUAUGGAUGUAGGUUGUUUCAGGAUUACUUAACUUGAUUCGCUUAGCGAUUUGAGGAUUGAAUCCUGAUUGAUCUUGUCAUCCGACCUUUGCCAUGUCAGGUGCGCUUGCUUGGCAGGUCAACUAAUUAAUAUAAAAAGAUUUGUUGGUUUUUGGGAGAGAUCGCACGGGUUUUUUUUGCCCGGGAUCUCUCCCCUGUGUGGUGUUUGCGUUUCUGCUUUUUUUUUUCUUCUCUUUAUUGUUUUGUUUUAUGCGUUUUACGUGCACGUGAUGAAUUAGAAGGAUUUCUCGGACUCCAUUGCGAAGCACACAUCAGGUACCUAUCCCAUUUUAUUCAUAUCACUUAUCAAAUUUAAAAUAUUUAAUCAAAAUUAAUUUGAAAUCGUGAAUAUUAUCUUUUAUAUCAACCAAAGAUACUAAAGUUCUAUUACUUUUACUAUUCUUUUAUAAGGUCUACAUGUUACAGAGGUUGAGUUAUUUACAUUGAAGAGAAAUGUAUCCCAUUAGACAUAAUAUUCUCACCGGAAUAGUUAUGUACUAGUAUCAAGCAUCAACAAAUUUUCUAUUUCUCAAAUUUUUUGUUUCUAUAAUCAGUGUUACCAUCGUUUUAUUUAUCCAGAAUGUCACAUACGAUAUACAAAACUUAUUUAGUCAGUAACUGGCCGUAAAUCAAUUUUUGAUGUAAUUGUUAAAAGUCAUUUGUGUUACCUACUUCUCCUUCAUAUCUGCCCCUACUUCUACCGGAUGUAAUAUAUGCCAACGAUUGGAAGUGCUCAUUUAUCAACUAAGGAUAUGUGAAGCGGUAGCAAUUUCUAGCUCUUCAUAUCUAUGAAGAAAUAUGAAUUAAUAAUAACAAUUAUGGAUAUAAAGACACGAGAGAACCAUUAAAUAGCAUUUAAUAAUUGUUGGUGCAGUUUUGGCUUGGCAAAUGUAUCUCUACCUAAUUGGAUCCUUCAGUUGUGAUUAUAUGUAACAUAUAUCAGUUUUGAUUCGAGGAAGAAGGACAAAUAUGAGUGGAGCAUAAACAUUGAAUUUCUUGAAGCGUCAUUUGUUCAUCUGCGAGGCUUCAAUCAUAGUAAGGCUAUUUGUGUUCUAUCUAAGAAGCUUCUAUCUAACAAGCUUCAAUCAUAGCAAGGCCAUUUGUCUUCAUCUAAGAAGCUUCAAUCAUAGCAAGGGCAUUUGUUCAUCUAAGAACUUCAAUCAUAGCAAAGCCAUUUUCUCAUCUAAGAAGCUCCAAUCAUAGUAAGGUGAAGAUUGCUUUGACUCUAAUUCUUUCAAUUAAGUUAAAUGUCUUCAUUUCAGUAUAUUCAUUUUAAUUCAUUCCAUAUUUCACAUUAGACUCUUAUGUGUGAUGAAGUAAUAUCUUUUUUAAGGUUAUGUAUUUAUUUGUGAUUC
Lathyrus oleraceus (garden pea) is the source of this 2076-nucleotide long non-coding RNA. RefSeq lists it as uncharacterized. The transcript is spliced from 2 exons. Lineage: Eukaryota; Viridiplantae; Streptophyta; Magnoliopsida; Fabales; Fabaceae. The record is from RefSeq and is a predicted model, not a curated record.